GUUAAGAGAAAAGAGACAGAGAGAUAGAGGACGCUUGCGUACCCUCCCCUGAUAGCCCACAAAACAUUUUCCUUAAUUCUUGCGUUACUACGUUCUUAAAAACGGAUUAUUGACAGUUGGGUUUGUCUUUAGCAUCUCCUUGUUUUCUCAAGGUUUCUUUCCCUCGUUUAGGGCUCCGUUUUUUCCUCCAUUGCAACAGUUCGCUUGGAAUCUCCUUCCCGAGAGGGGUCUGGUGAAGCGAGCGCUGCUUAGAGGCAUCCUCCAAUGUGAGGCUUCACAUUUCUACUGAAAUCUUGCGCUUUGAUCUGGUUUGAUCUCUCCCAUGGCUGAACCUCCGCCGGAAGGAAUGGAAGCCGAAUGCUAUGAAUCGAUGCCUGAAAUCAAGGUGGAAGAUCUGAAUCUUUCAAUUGAAGAUCAUCACACGAUCUCAGGUCUUGUUCGCUGGAAUUAUGUUUUGGUUGGCAAGAUUUUCACAACAAAACGCAUUUCUGCAGUCACCAUAUCCAAGGCUCUCUCUAUAGCCUGGGACCUUCACCGAGAUCUGGAAGUCAGAGCUUUAGAGAGGGACCUUUUCCUCUUCCAGUUGGAUAAUACCAGUAAAAUGGAGAAUGCGAUGUGGUGUUAAUCGGUUCAGAUUCGGUUUAAACGAAGAAGAAAGCUGUAAAUAUUGGGAUCUUUCGUAAAGCUCGGCUACCAGAAACCUUGAAGGAGUUUACAAGAGCUUUAGCCAUAAGGGUUUAUCUUCGAGUUGAUCUCCCUCGCCGCAUGGGAAUGACAUUUAUCAGGUCAGGUUUAGAUACAAUUUGGCCGGAAUUUGCAUUUGCGAAACUGCCGCUCUUCUGCUUCUAUUGCGGGAUAAUUGGUCAUGACUCCCGGUCGUGCGGACUACAACUCUAUUUGAGCCGAGGCUUUCGCUCGCCGGUGUCCCUAAAACUCUCACCAGAACUGUGAGAUCCUUGUCUAGGCACUUUUUUUGGUGACUGGUUAAGAAUCGGUAGCCCUACAACUCGCCACGUGGCUGCAAUUCAAAUGAAGCUUGUUGCAAAGGCAAUCAUCCUUUCUCUUGAAAGUCGCCUAUUCUGCGCUGAAACCAUGGAUUCUUUUGCAUGUGGACAUGAUCGGGAGGAGUUUCUUGAGGGUUUCAUUCGGGCUCUACUAAGGCCUGAUCCGUGUUUUCGUCAAAGAACUGUUCCCCGAAUGAGGCAAAUCAUGAAUUUUCGACGUUCUUCGGGUAAUAGUCGGGACAUAGUACAACGUUCGGCUCGACGGGAGAUGGUUCAACGCUCACCUUAUCGGGAGAUGGUGAAGAAAUCCCUAUUCCCAUUACCAUCCGCUGAACAUGAUCUUGCCACGCCAGCACCUCCAGAAGUUGCUAGGAACAUGAUCGACACUGCUGCUGAGGAUGUUAAUUGUCUGCGUCCUUGUUCUGACCAGGCGCCUGACCCAGCAGCUCCAACUCCCUUAUCCCCUGAUCAUCAGGUUUUGGACAGCAAUAGGAUUGAUCUGAGCCCGUUAAUGCUCAUUUCAGGCACAACUGGUACCAGCUCCAUAUCUUCAGGAAUUAAUUCCAAUUCCCCAGGGCAACUUCUUCCUGAGAGUAAGACAGAAAGUUUGGCUGUUACUAGGGCUUCGAAGAUAGUGCUUUUUGUGCAAAACACUUACAAUUCUCGUGAAGUUGGCUCUACUGUGGUACUGGAGGAAUUACCAUCCCCUCCUUUUUCUCCUGAAUGCUCUUCACUUGUGAAGGUCUCACUUUGUGUUUGAUCCAUCCAAGCACCUUGCAGCGGAAAGCCCGGGUGCAUUGUUCUCUCUAAUUCUUCUCAGGGAACUGUUCUGUUUCCCAUUCUCUGCAUUCCUGCCAUUAAAAUGCCUGCAAACUUCAGUCCUAUAUUUUCUAAGAAUUGUUGAUUUGAAGGUGAAAUCUGUAGUUGACAACUAUUCUGUUCACAGAACUGUCUAAUCGAUUGUGUCAGAAUUCAGAAUCUGUUUUCAAUUUCAGAUUCUGUCAAGUACUCAAGUCAUUAAUGGAGUCCCAAUUCAAGUGGGAGUUUUUUCUUGGGCUUAUUCCUGAACCCUAUUUGCCUUUUCUGCUAGUUUGUUUAUUCUGAUAUUGAUAUUCUGUUGGUUAUCCUAGUUCUGUGAUCUUUUCAUUGAUCGGAAUUAUAUUUUGACUGAUUUUCCCUUCUCCUAGUCUAACUAGGAUUUCCUAUUAUAUUCUGAAUCCAACCAUUGGAUCCUUCUGAACUUUCAGCAAGGUUUUCGUUCACUAAUAAAAGAUCUCGACCUGAAUAUGAGGUCCUUCUGGUUGCUUGAUUUUGUUCUAUGAUUUUUCGUUCAAAAACUGCUUCUGUAUCUCUCUGUUUUCGUUCAUGUUUUGGUACGUUUUAACCUUUUAAAUCAGUAUUACAUUACUUCUGCAUUAGGAGGCCCUUGUACCCAUAGCUCUUCUAGUUUAUUAUAGACCAUCCAGUUGUGUUGCAUUGAAUACUGAUUAGCAAAAUAAAUACAUGGAGCACAAUAGGAUGGAAAGUGAAGCAUGUUACCAAUUUCAUUGGUUAUUAUUCUUCUCUCACAGGCCCAAGGAUAGGUGGUGAACCGAUCUGAACUAAUAUAGAAUGUGGGAUGAUGUAGCAGAGAUUACCAAUCGAUGGAGUCUAACUUCCUGGUUCUGCAGUUCAGCACAUGAGUGAAUUGAUAGUAGAAGAAACAUUGAAGAGAAAAGAAGAGAAGAAAGAGAGGAGAAAUUCUGGAAGGAAGACAUGUAUCUCUCGGCAACAGAGGCAUACAUGAGGAGGUCUAACCCUUUACAAAGACUCGAGCUUUUGGGAUAAGCUGUUGUAACAUGGUAACAGAGCUAGGAGGUUGGGUGUUUGAUCCCUGGAGGAACGCGGAGCCACCAAUAUAUUACAUGCCUGUGAAACCACUGGAGGAAGAUGCCACUCUUCCUGAGGAGCGUAAAGUGCAGGGAGUGCCUAUUUAAGUGGUUUCAGACCCUUCGACAUAUGACAGUCAUGCCACCCACUACCUGAAAAGUCUCUCAAUGUAGGUGGAGGGGUGGAGCUAUCAGAAUAUCAGAAGCAGAUUGCACAACAGUAUGUUGCCAAUGUGGAAACGGAGGUAGAGAGAUGGCAAAAUGCAAGGAAUGCUAGAAAAGCAAACUACAAUCUGAACCAGGAGACAAUGGACAAUGGACAAUGAGCUUGAAACCCAAGGAUUGCUACUGACUCUGUUUCCUACGGACUAGUUCAGGAAGGAACUUUGAUUGGUGAUUUCAUGCUUUGAAGUUAUUGUAUUAACGAUGGUGAGAAAUUGUGAAUAUGGAGUUUUGCUGGGACUUGGAACAAGUCAUGGUAGAACACCUGGAUCCAAUUUGUUCUCUACCCUCCUUAUUCAGAGAUAUCGUAUGCCUGGCUUCUAUUUCUUGACUCCUGGAGACAAAAAGUUGCCAGAAAGAGAGAUUUAUAAACAUCAAAAAAGGUGCUGAAGUCCAUCACCAUGUUAUGCAUCUCCUUCGAAUGACUUCAGGUUUCAGAUAUCUGCCAACCUUUCUCUUUGGCUUAUUUAAGUUCCGGUAUUUACUUGAUCCUCUUUGGAAGACUUAUAAAGGUCUAGUUCUUAUUCAUGCAAAAGAUAAUCUUUGAUAGUA
Molecule: long non-coding RNA, 3646 nt
Organism: Macadamia integrifolia
Lineage: Eukaryota; Viridiplantae; Streptophyta; Magnoliopsida; Proteales; Proteaceae
Exons: 8
Source: RefSeq, a predicted model, not a curated record